RNAcentral lists this ribosomal RNA (429 nucleotides) under uncultured Acidobacterium sp. Its description in RNAcentral is "bacterial SSU rRNA". It matches the Rfam family "Bacterial small subunit ribosomal RNA", at positions 958 to 1385 of the family's 1533-position model. The record is from RNAcentral. Lineage: Bacteria; Pseudomonadati; Acidobacteriota; Terriglobia; Terriglobales; Acidobacteriaceae.
AACGCGAAGAACCUUACCUGGGCUCGAAGCGCAGUGGAAUCCGGUGGAAACAUCGGCGCCCCUUAAAAGGCUGCUGCGGAGGUGCUGCAUGGCUGUCGUCAGCUCGUGUCGUGAGAUGUUGGGUUAAGUCCCGCAACGAGCGCAACCCUUAUCGUUAGUUGCCAUCGGGUCAAGCCGGGCACUCUAGCGAAACCGCCCAGGAUAACUGGGAGGAAGGUGGGGAUGACGUCAAGUCCUCAUGGCCUUUAUGUCCAGGGCUACACACGUGCUACAAUGGUCGGUACAAACCGUCGCAAACCCGCGAGGGGGAGCUAAUCGGAAAAAGCCGACCUCAGUUCGGAUUGGAGUCUGCAACCCGACUCCAUGAAGCUGGAAUCGCUAGUAAUCGCAGAUCAGAACGCUGCGGUGAAUACGUUCCCGGGCCUUGUA